UCUUCACCCAAAAAUCAACGUGUUACCUUGUGAUUAUUUUUGGCUCCACAGAGUUGUUUAAGUUAGAAGAAGAUGAAGAUAUUCAGUCAAUAUACAGUUUAGAUGCUUUAAGUGAUAAUGAGAGUAUUUAUAGUAUAGAGAAUAUUAACAUAAUAGAUUUAAAUUCGGAAGAUUCAAGUAGCACAAAUAGUGAUUUAGAAGAGUUUAUGUGUGCAUUCAUAGAAGAACAACAUGAAGAAGAGUAUAAAUACAUUAAUUUAGGUUGGCCAAAAAACUGUCAUAAGUGUAGUAAGUUAGUUGCAAAUAAAUACUAUAAUACAAAUUCAAUAUUGUGCAAAAAGUGUUAUAAUAAUAAGUUAUUAGAAAUUAAUUUAGCAGAAUCACAAGAAAAUACUGAAAUAUUAGGAAAUAUUGUUUAUAGUAUAGAAAGCCAAAAAUGACACACCCCGACCUAAAUCGCGGCAUUUUGGCUGUCACAUGGGAGUGACGUAACCAUGUGCAUAGUGCAGAA
This 511-nucleotide long non-coding RNA is filed under the name Malus domestica (apple). RNAcentral's name for it is "long non-coding RNA (MDOM_LNC005574)". Lineage: Eukaryota; Viridiplantae; Streptophyta; Magnoliopsida; Rosales; Rosaceae. The record is from RNAcentral.